CAUCAUUUGUGAUAAAUAUUCAUUAAAAAAUGGAAGUUGUGAAUUGUAUAAAAUAUAAAAUCAUUUAUAUUAUAUAUUUAUUAAUGUUAAAAUGAAAUAUUUGCUACAUUAUGAUACAGUAGAAUGAUCUAACUGAACUUAAUCGAGGCAUAGAAACCCGAAGUGUAUGCCGAAUAAAUCCGAACUUAAGCCGAACUAUUCUAGCAAUAUCCAUCCAUAUAUAAAUUUGAAACGCGAUAACCACCUACAUAUAUGCCAAGUAUUAUCUUAUUGAAUGAAAAAAUAUAAAUUUGUACAACGAGCAAUGAUAAAGCUAAAUACAAGAGUAUAUACAUAAAAUGAGAGAGAUAAGACACGAUUGUUCAAUACGAUACCGAAGAUAAGAAACGUGUGAUUGUAUAAUAUAUCACAUUAUUAUAUUGUAGUGAUCACACUGAAGGAGAGAAAGUGUUAUAAAAUUUUUAUCCAUGA
Long non-coding RNA from Apis mellifera (honey bee), 471 nucleotides. RefSeq lists it as uncharacterized. The record is from RefSeq and is a predicted model, not a curated record. NCBI's taxonomy places the organism in Eukaryota, Metazoa, Arthropoda, Insecta, Hymenoptera, Apidae. The transcript has 3 exons.